This 250-nucleotide long non-coding RNA is filed under the name Capsicum annuum. Its description in RNAcentral is "long non-coding RNA (CANN_LNC017103)". The record is from RNAcentral. Lineage: Eukaryota; Viridiplantae; Streptophyta; Magnoliopsida; Solanales; Solanaceae.
CACCAAAAUAACGACAACAAAUACCAUAACCAAAACUAAAUUCAAGUUAUGUCAUAUAUUUCAUACGCACAGAUAUAAUAUCAACUAUGGACAUGAACACUUGUUCACAAGACCAAUCACGACAGUAAUAACAUUACUCCAAGAUCGGAGUUAACCCGUGUUCAUGAAGAGAGAAAACAAAACAGAACGAAAGGGUGUGGAUUCACACCUUUUCUGGUGAAGCAAACUCGGGCUCAACGUCAAGGAUUUC